ACAAUCUUUUCACUCAGAGUUUGAAGUAGGUCUGGGUGCCAUGCAGAACUGUGUGGUACCCCUAAAUUUCAUGGAACAUCACUCUUUCAAAAAUCUGUGCAAGUCUCUGUCUGAGAGGAAAAGAGGGAACCUCAAGUGCUACUCAACCAUGAUCAUGUAACAACUGGACAUCCCCCGGACACUUUUCUGGCUCACAAGUAUAAAAUCAAGUUAUCAACAGAGCUGUGUUUCUUUGUGAAGUCUUUGGGAAAGAACAUUUCUUUCUCACGUUUUCCAUGUGGCUAAGAAGGGACCUGUAACCAGGAGUUUCCACAUGGAAGAAAAAGAAAAGAGUACCUCCUUGUCACCAACCCAGCUUGGCAAGUUCUAUCUGAGCCAAGACAGUUUUAGCUCAGAACAAAAUAAGCUUUCUGCACCUGCUAGAGCUUAAUUUGUUUGUCAUCUUCUUUAUAAGAAACAAAAGUCCCUUCGGCAUGCUGAUAAUUAAAAACAAAUGGAAUUCACCAGUUGGAAUGGCCCUGAUGUUGGCAUUGGAGUUGGCAUGGCCCUCCUGUUCCUACGCUUGUCCAGACUCUGACCUUUCUCUGACCAGAACGUUCAGCUCAACUCAACUUUGAAGUGUGUCUCUCACCCUCCCCUCAUGGCUUCUCUCCAGCUCUCUCCAAGCUGUGCUCUGUGCUUUUGCUUUUGAUCCCAACAGCUGACAAGCAAGACUUAUGUCUUUUCUCAAGUGCAUCAGAGCUCACAGUACCUCUGACCUUGAGAUUCUUAUUGGCCAAAAAACUCCGUAGAAGCCAAAAAACUCCGUAGAAGCCAAACAGCAGGGAGCAGUUGUCAGAGUUCUUUGCUAUGUCUAUCUGCUCUUCCUUCAAAAAUCAAAAGUUUCAUUGCUAAAACUGUUAAGCUACUGAUCUGUGUAGACUACUACAUUUUCCAAUUGAUGGGGAGCAAAUGAAUUCGACCAAAAUUCUGAAGCUUGUACCUCACAAUUUGAGCAUAAGACUAAUUUGAGCAUCCAAACCAAAAGAAAUCAGAUAAGCAAAUAGGCAUUAGACAUUUUCAUUAUAAAAAUAUGGGAGAGCAUGAAUGGCUCUCUUCAAUAGAAUUUACUGAUUUUUGUUUUAAUUUAUUUCUCUAUUUUUCAGAUCUCCAGUGCAUUGUUGUGGGAGGUGCUAGCAAUUGAUAAAUUUUGAAUAGGUGAACAUUUCAGACAGCUUAAUAAAAUCCAUACAUACUCAUGUUUUAAUUCCUCAGUUUUUAACAACAGAACAUAAAACACAUUCAUUUUUAACAUUUAAAAAUUGUUUUAGCCACCAUUAAACAAAAAAUGACAAAUAUUCUCUAAAUUAGUCUUUCUGUGUGUAAUUUUUUCUGUAACCACUCUGAAGAAUUUUAAUUCUGUACUAAAGCAAAAUAAUCUGCACACUUUUUAAAAGAUAAUGAUAAACAUAAUAGGAAAGGGUUCUUGAAUAGAAAAACUUCAAAAAAAUUGCAUUAUCUAUUAUUUUUAAAGGAAGAAAUUGUUAUUUCACCUUUACCAAAUGCACACAAUUUUAGAGCCUGGUGGGAACAUAAUAGGUCAACUAGCCUGAACUUCUUCGUCCAGGUUAAGAAUUCAGGCCAGAGCAGGGAAAGAAUACAACUAUCUGAUUGCUCCCCAAAACACUGCUGCCUGCUCACCUCCAGACCCUGUGCAAACUAUAAACUUGUUCUUAUGAGCCAAAGUGUACCGAUUAGAUUCUGUAAUCAUGUUAAUCAGCAAUCUACCCUUCAAUUGUGGGCACACUUUUUUUUCUUAAUAAAAUUACUUUUAUUUCUGUAUUAAUGCGAAAGUUUUGGAAAAAUAACCAAAAUAAAAUUGUAUUUAAUACAUACGUUUUAAACCACGUAACAGAAUUUUAAAAAUUCCAAACCAUCCAUCUUAUUCUCAAGUCUGAUUUAAUUGUAUGGGCAAUUACCUGAGGGCUAUAUAGCCAUAGUAAGAACUCCCUCAUAAGUGUACAAUCAAUAGGCAGGUGGUGCUUCAUAGCUUUAUGCAGAAACUUCAAUUCCCAUUUUAUUUUCCAGUUUUAUCUUUCAUAACUGCCAUAAAGUACAAUAUAUAUAAAUUAUUCUUAAUUAUAUAGAAAAUAUGUACUUAUUUUAUAUAUAUAUAUAUGAUUAGAUACAACUGAGUAAAGACAAAAAUAAAAGUUUAUGUAAUAUAGGAUGACUAAAUUAAUUUGAAGACUUUGAGGUCAUUUUUAUACAGAACUUUAGGAUAUUCAGACAAUGUUUUAAUGUCCUUUUCUUUUUGGCUUUUGAGAAUCACUACCAGCUAAAUCCCUUGUCAGCUUAUGAUUCCAAUCCUGCAAUUGUUUCUCAGAAACUUAAGGAGUCCUAAGCCAGUCAAUCAGCAUUACUGUUCUAAAUCACCCUCUGAAAAAACGUUUCUGACUCUGGUCAUGUGAAACUUUUGUAAAUUGAAUUGUGUUCCCCCAAGAAAGAUGAGUUGCAGUCCUAACCUCUAGUACCUCAGAAUAUGACCUUAUGCUUGGUAGCACCGUCUUUAUAGAGGUGAUCAAAUUAAAAUGUCAUUAAGUCACUCCCUAAUCCAAUAUGAGUGAUGUCCUCAUACAAAGUGGAAAUUCACGCACAGAGUCAGACAUGCACAGAGGGAACACAGUAUUUGAAAAGACAGAAACACAAGGAGCACAUCUUUAAAGAUAACAGCAGAAUUUGGGAUGAUUUAUCUAGAAGCCAAAGAUUGCUCACAGACCCAAGGAGCUAGGAGAGAGUCAUGGAACAGAUUCCCCCUCACAGUUCUCAGAAGAAAGGAACCCACUGGAAAAUUUGACCCAAAACUUCAAACUUCUAUAACUGUGGUAUCAAAAUUUUGUAUUAUUUUAAGCCACUCCAUCUUUGGUACUUUGUUAUGACAACUCUAAGAAACUAAUAUUAAUAAUUAGACUUUUAUUGAGAACUUUAAAACAAAUUCCCACCCCUGACCUAGAUUUUAUGUCUUCCAUAGGCUCCAAAGUCUAUGUCUGAACCCCAAAAUAUCCAUUUCUUCCAAGGCCCUACCAAAACACUGCAGUCAGACAUUCCCAAAAACUGAGGAAGCUAGACCUCCAACGGCACCCCUGCUCUAGGACUUCUGUUUGUGAAGGACUCAGCACACAAUGGUACAACUGUAUUGACCUUUACCGGAACUUUCAUGGGACUAGGUUUUAUUGGUCAUUGCAUUCCAUGCUCAGUAUGGUGUUUGGCACAAAGUGAAUAAAUUAAUGUGUAUUGCUAAGAAUUGGCUGUGCCCAGUUUUUCCUUUUAGUCUGCCUGUAAGAACACCUCCCAUUCCUACCAGUACAUCCUUUCUCAGGCGGGCCACCUGCCAGCUGGCAGCAUGCUCUUCUGCUGUGUGAACUGCCUGCCCAUUCCUGAGGUCAGUUCUUCACCAGAACACCUGAUACCCCACGUGGCUGCAGCCGACAACUGUGGUCUGAGUGCCUAGCUGGCUUCCUUUCCACCAGGAGCCUUUCUCUAGUUGUGUUUACUACUGAUUUCUUGUCUUUUCUGGUUUGUUCUGCUCUGUGAGUAAACUAACAUAUUUAAUACAUAAAUAGAAGUUUUAAUAUUAUCUGAAACCAACAGUGAAAUUUGCAAUUUCAAAAGAAAUAAGACAAUGUACAAUAAACAAGCAACUGCAGGGAGGAAAAAACUAGAGCAGAAUUAAAAAUAAAUUACUUUUUUACUCCAUAUAAUUGGA
Long non-coding RNA from Sciurus carolinensis (gray squirrel), 3745 nucleotides. RefSeq lists it as uncharacterized. NCBI's taxonomy places the organism in Eukaryota, Metazoa, Chordata, Mammalia, Rodentia, Sciuridae. The transcript is spliced from 3 exons. The record is from RefSeq and is a predicted model, not a curated record.